UGGGGAAUAUUGGGCAAUGGGGGCAACCCUGACCCAGCGACGCCGCGUGAGGGAAGAAGGCCUUAGGGUCGUAAACCUCUGUUGUGUGGGAAGAAGGAAGUGACGGUACCACACGAGGAAGUCCCGGCUAACUACGUGCCAGCAGCCGCGGUAAUACGUAGGGGACGAGCGUUGUCCGGAAUUACUGGGCGUAAAGGGCCCGUAGGCGGUCACUUAAGUCAGCUGUGAAAUGGUCCGGCUCAACCGGAUCAUGCGGUUGAAACUGG
Molecule: ribosomal RNA, 266 nt
Filed under: uncultured bacterium
Lineage: Bacteria
Description: partial 16S ribosomal RNA
Rfam family: Bacterial small subunit ribosomal RNA
Source: RNAcentral